RNAcentral lists this ribosomal RNA (253 nucleotides) under uncultured bacterium. RNAcentral's name for it is "partial 16S ribosomal RNA". It matches the Rfam family "Bacterial small subunit ribosomal RNA", at positions 524 to 776 of the family's 1533-position model. The record is from RNAcentral.
UACGGAGGGGACUAGCGUUGUUCGGAAUUACUGGGCGUAAAGCGCACGUAGGCGGAUUGUUAAGUCAGGGGUGAAAUCCCGAGGCUCAACCUCGGAACUGCCUUUGAUACUGGCAAUCUCGAGUCCGGAAGAGGUGAGUGGAAUUCCUAGUGUAGAGGUGAAAUUCGUAGAUAUUCGCAAGAACACCAGUGGCGAAGGCGGCUCACUGGCCCGGUACUGACGCUGAGGUGCGAAAGCGUGGGGAGCGAACAGG